UACGGGGGGAGCAAGCGUUGUUCGGAUUUACUGGGCGUAAAGGGCGCGUAGGCGGCGCAACAAGUCACUUGUGAAAUCUCCGGGCUUAACCCGGAGCGGCCAAGUGAUACUGUCGUGCUAGAGUGCGGAAGGGGCUACUGGAAUUCUCGGUGUAGCGGUGAAAUGCGUAGAUAUCUGGAGGAACACCGGUGGCGAAGGCGGCAUCCUGGACCGGUAUUGACGCUGAGGCGCGAAAGCCAGGGGAGCAAACGGG
RNAcentral lists this ribosomal RNA (253 nucleotides) under uncultured bacterium. Its description in RNAcentral is "partial 16S ribosomal RNA". It matches the Rfam family "Bacterial small subunit ribosomal RNA", at positions 524 to 776 of the family's 1533-position model. The record is from RNAcentral.